UACGUAGGGUGCAAGCGUUAAUCGGAAUUACUGGGCGUAAAGCGCGCGUAGGCGGCUGUCUAAGUCGGGUGUGAAAGCCCCGGGCUCAACCUGGGAACUGCAUUCGAUACUGGACGGCUAGAGUAUGAGAGAGGGAGGUAGAAUUCCACGUGUAGCGGUGAAAUGCGUAGAUAUGUGGAGGAAUACCGGUGGCGAAGGCGGCCUCCUGGUUCAAUACUGACGCUGAGGUGCGAAAGCGUGGGGAGCAAACAGG
RNAcentral lists this ribosomal RNA (253 nucleotides) under uncultured bacterium. RNAcentral's name for it is "partial 16S ribosomal RNA". It matches the Rfam family "Bacterial small subunit ribosomal RNA", at positions 524 to 776 of the family's 1533-position model. The record is from RNAcentral.